This 276-nucleotide long non-coding RNA is filed under the name Homo sapiens (human). RNAcentral's name for it is "PREDICTED lncRNA (TCONS_00222948)". Lineage: Eukaryota; Metazoa; Chordata; Mammalia; Primates; Hominidae. The record is from RNAcentral.
GGAGGGUCUUCCAACGGCGGCGACCUUCGCCUGGACAGCGGUAUCCUGCGGGCGACCAUGGGCCGAACGGCCGGGACUCCAAGCUUACCUCGGACACGAACGCCGCGCCAGUCUCCAAGCCAAGGAACAUUUCUCUCCACCAUCCUGUGCCACACUGUGGGGGUGUCAGUAACACCCUCUGUCCUCUCCUGGCCAAAGGAAAGGGGUGUCAUUCAGCCCAGGCCCCUGGAUCCUCAUCUUGGGAUUUGGAAAUGUGACCGAAGUGACAUAAAAAAA